GGCCCAAUGGUCUAGUAGUAUGAUUCGCGCUUCGGGUCAGCGUUUGCGCGAGGUCCCGGGUUCAAUUCCCGGUUGGGCCC
Molecule: transfer RNA, 80 nt
Filed under: Pilatotrama ljubarskyi
Lineage: Eukaryota; Fungi; Basidiomycota; Agaricomycetes; Polyporales; Polyporaceae
Description: tRNA-Pro
Rfam family: tRNA
About the family: Transfer RNA (tRNA) molecules are approximately 80 nucleotides in length. Their secondary structure includes four short double-helical elements and three loops (D, anti-codon, and T loops). Further hydrogen bonds mediate the characteristic L-shaped molecular structure. tRNAs have two regions of fundamental functional importance: the anti-codon, which is responsible for specific mRNA codon recognition, and the 3' end, to which the tRNAs corresponding amino acid is attached (by aminoacyl-tRNA synthetases). tRNAs cope with the degeneracy of the genetic code in two manners: having more than one tRNA (with a specific anti-codon) for a particular amino acid; and 'wobble' base-pairing, i.e. permitting non-standard base-pairing at the 3rd anti-codon position.
Source: RNAcentral